Molecule: long non-coding RNA, 310 nt
Organism: Carassius carassius (crucian carp)
Lineage: Eukaryota; Metazoa; Chordata; Actinopteri; Cypriniformes; Cyprinidae
Exons: 3
Source: RefSeq, a predicted model, not a curated record
GCUCUGUCUCAUUAUGGUGCUGAAUCAGAUCAGUACGACCAGAAUACUCUGCCACACAUGGAUCCAGCAGCGUUUCUAGGGGACCCUGUCUAGGUAUGGACCCAGUCGAUCAGCUACUCAAGUUACAACAGGGGAGUUCAUCUAUUGAGGAUUACAUACAGCAGCUCUCGUAGCCACCAGAUCCAGUCCAAAUCCAGAUCAGAGGGUCACUGCAGUCACCCAGAUCCAGUGCCUAUCCAGACCAGAUGGUGGAUCAGCACCUAGAAAGGACCUCUACAGCCCUGAAAGACAGCGGAGACCAGGACAACUA